GAUGAACGCUAGCGGCGGGCCUAAUACAUGCAAGUCGAACGAUAGAAGAGGGCUUGCUCUCUUCGAAAGUGGCGCACGGGUGCGUAACGCGUAUGCAACCUACCUUAAUCAGGGGGAUAGCCCGAAGAAAUUCGGAUUAACACCGCAUAAAAUCACAGUACAGCAUUGUACAAUGAUCAAAUAUUUACAGGAUUAAGAUGGGCAUGCGUGACAUUAGCUAGUUGGCGGGGUAACGGCCCACCAAGGCGACGAUGUCUAGGGGAUCUGAGAGGAUGACCCCCCACACUGGUACUGAGACACGGACCAGACUCCUACGGGAGGCAGCAGUAAGGAAUAUUGGUCAAUGGAGGCAACUCUGAACCAGCCAUGCCGCGUGCAGGAAGACGGCCCUCUGGGUUGUAAACUGCUUUUAUUCGGGAAUAAACCUCAUUACGUGUAAUGAGCUGAAUGUACCGAAGGAAUAAGGAUCGGCUAACUCCGUGCCAGCAGCCGCCGUAA
Molecule: ribosomal RNA, 498 nt
Filed under: uncultured bacterium
Lineage: Bacteria
Description: partial 16S ribosomal RNA
Rfam family: Bacterial small subunit ribosomal RNA
Source: RNAcentral